GGGAUGCUAUGAGGAGACAUACUCCUCUAGACCCCAGAUCCGAAGUGGGAAUACAGCAGUUGGUUUCAUUAUUCAUAGGCCAGUCAGCAACAGAUAUCCUUUGGAAAUUGUAGAACAUGCGACUGACAGAUAGUAGGAACCUAGAGACACUUAGACACGGUUACAUCCCUAACCCCACCUUGAUGAUAAUUUUGUUACUGUAAACGGGGCAGCUGGCCAGAGUGAAAAGGCCUAUUUCCUUAAACCCCUAAGAUAUACAUUGGGAAAACAAGUGAGAAUACACAAAUUCUUGUACAUGCUGAACUCUCCAAAACCUCUGCUGGAAUGGGACUUGUUAGAGCAAUUAGGGGCAGAAAUAAAAUUUGAAUCAGGAAAAAAUGAGUUUAAGGUAAAAGAUGACCAAUUAAUAGAGAUAUUAAGUUUAGCUCUUGACAGCGUCCCAGCUCAGACAGGGGUACCAAAGGGGAUUAAAAACCAGGUUUAUCCAAGGGUGUGGGCUAUUGAAAUGCCUAGCUGAGCCAAAACCACCGCCCCCUAUAGUAUUUAGGUUAAAGUCAGGGGUUCAACCUGUAAGGAUAAAGCAAUAUCCCUUAAGGAUUGAAGACAGGGAAUUCAAACGAUAAUUGAUCAAUUUAUCAAAACCAGGCUGCUAAAAGAAUGUGAAUCAGAUUAUAAUAUCCCUAUCCUGCCUGUAAAGAAACCAGAUGGGAACUAUUGGAUUGUACAAGAUUUGAGGGAUGUAAAUAAAAUAGCCGAAUAUUUGCACCCAUUGGUGAGAAAUCUGUACACGUUGCUCUUAAAAUGAAUCAAUGAAUUGGCUUGGUUUACCGUGUUGGAUCUAAAGGGCGCCUUCUUCUGCCUGUCCCUUGCCUCAGACAGUCAGCCUAUUUUUGCAUUUGAAUGGGAAAACUCAGAUUCAGGAAGAAAACCACAACUAACACGGACUGUUCUCUCCCAGGGGUUUAAAAAUAGUCCCACUCUUCUUGGGAAUCAGCUUGCAAAAGAUCUUGAACAAUGGGAGCACCCACCCGGGAAAGGGGCGCUUCUACAGUAUGUGGGCGACUUACUGAUAGCCACCAGUGAGAAGGAACAAUGAGAAAAUUGGACAGUUAGUUUGUUGAACUUCCUCGGUCUUAAUGGAUAUCGAGUCUCUCCACAGAAAGCCCAGAUUGCCUUGCAACCGGUGACCUGUUUGGGAUAUGAAAUCACUGCCAGGCUGUGACCCCUGGGAACAGCAAGGAAAGGAGCCAUUUGCCAGACUCCUGAGCCAUGAACAGUUAGGGAGCUCCACACGUUCUUGAUGGAAAUUUUGGAGAACCAAUAUCACAUGGCUGCUUGGAAAUGAUUGAGGCCGUGUAUUCAAGCCAUCCAGACCUGAAAGAAGAACUGCUGGAGGAUGCUGAGGACACCUGGUACACCUGGUACAGCUUCGUGCGACAGGGCACACAUAAAGUAGGAUAUGCGGUAACAGCUACUGACCAGGUAAUCGAGUCAGGAAGCCUUGACUCCAACUCCUCAGCACAAAAGGCAGAAAUAAUAGCCUUAACCCGAGCUUUGGAACUAGGAAAAGGAAAGAAAAUUAACAUAUGGACAGACUCAAAAUAUGCUUUCGGAGUAGUGUAUGCCCACGGGGCUACGUGGAAUAAAAGAGGAAGUUGGCAAUGCUCUGGCAGACAAAGAGGCCAAAAGGGUGGCGGAGGAAGGGGAGGCAGACAUACAGUCUCUGAUCCCAGACGAUUCACCAUUGGAACCUAAGUGGGAGGGCCUGUUCCAAGUGCUGCUGACUUCUCACACUAUCAAGAUAAAAGAACAAGCUCCCUGGAUUCAUCACACCCUGGUUAAGAAGGCACAGAAGCCAUCCUGGACAGUUAAGCCAACAGGACUGCUCUGACUAUCGCUCAAGAAACAGAAUGAUUAAUGUUGUGUUUGUAGUGUGGGGUUUAGGGGUUGCCGGGGCAUGGGAAGGAAAUUUACAUUCUAACAACACCGAAGGAAUGGCGAAUGCCUUAAAUCUAUCCUCUUGCUGGACAUGCACAGCCCUCCCCAGAGGGAAUAUGGAAUCUCCCCUUUUUGGCGUUCCAGUGUCCUAUGCAAAUUGGAGUUGGCCAUAUGACAAUCUAAAAAAUUCUACCCUGCCUACCGGGGAAAGCUUCCUCUGGAGGGUGGGGGAAUCCUGCCCUCCAGGACAGCAACUAAGCAAACUUCCAAAUGGGGAGACCCUUUGCUGGGGCUUCUCAUCCCCCUUACCAGCUAGAGGAACCCCGGUGCCGUCUUACACUUGCGGAAACAAUAGCAUUCAUUCUCUUAAAUUUGAGUUACGGGAACUGGGGAAAACAAUAUUUAUACAAAGGAAGAAUGACACUGCCCCAAGAGUGGGACACUUUAAAUUAAGUGCUCUUAAUGGAGCAACCGUAUGCAGCAAGGAUACCCAGUCAGACUCUUCAGGAUGUCCGGCACCAAUCAUGGCAGGACUACUACUCAAUUACUCCUAUAGUUGUGUACCAGAUGGAUUAUGGUGGCUAUGUGGGGAUGGCCAUGCCAGAAAAUCCUUGCCAGACCACUGGGAUGGGACCUGUACUUUGGGGUAUGUUAUCCCUCAGAGCAGAGUGUUUAAUCAGACAAGGCCACCAGCAGGAUUAUUAAGGACAUUGUGGACAAAGACUAAACGACAGCUUCCAACCCGCUAGUCGAUAGGCCAACGGGAUAUCACAGCUUUGUGCGUUGGCUCAUUCCGUCUCCAGGAGUGAGUGAAUUAGAAAAGGCAUUAGUAAAUAUUUCUGCCACAUCGGAGAAAAAAGACAGUUUUACCAUAGACGCACUGAGAGCAUUACAGGUUGAAGUGAGCUCUCUGCUGUAGUACUGCAAAACCGAAUGGCAUUAGACUUGUUGAUGGCCAAAGAAGGCAGACUGUGCACUGCAAUCAAAGUUGCUGCUCAUCCAUAAAACAAGACAAAAGAAUUGAGAGAGAUCUUGAGAAAUUUAGGGAACAAUCAAAACUCUUCCAUCUAGCACUGAUGGAUGAUACCAUGUGGGGUUUUCCAGAAAUUUGGGAUAAGCUUACCAGGUGGUUACUUCAUUUUAGGAUCAGGCAGCUUUCUCUCGCUUGCAUUGCUGUUAUUUCUUGGGAUUUUUAUAUUCUGUAUUUUAUGCUGUUUCCUUUUCCUAUGUCAUCAAACCGGGAGUAGCUACGAGGAACGGAAGAUGCACAGGCUGAGGCAAAGGAUAGAAGAAGGGAAGUAUUUUCUAGAUAGAAACAGAAUAAUCUGUCAAGGAGCAGACAGAUUUUCUAGAUUAAAAAGCAAAGGGGGAAUUGAGAGAAAGAAAGACUAAUUGAUGUCCUUAUAGUGAGGGGCCCAGAACUGAGCACAGCACUCGAGGUGCGGCCUCACCAGAGCAGAGCACAGGGGAACCAUCACCUCCCUGUGCCUGCUGGCUGCACUACUCCUGAUGCAAGCCAGGAUGCCACUGGCCUAAGAAGCCUCCUACGUGGGGAGGGCGCAGGGAUGUGCUUUACUGGUAAAUAAAGAUGGUAAAUAAAAA
Molecule: long non-coding RNA, 3540 nt
Organism: Oxyura jamaicensis (ruddy duck)
Lineage: Eukaryota; Metazoa; Chordata; Aves; Anseriformes; Anatidae
Exons: 2
Source: RefSeq, a predicted model, not a curated record